This 70-nucleotide transfer RNA is filed under the name Clistocoeloma sinense. Its description in RNAcentral is "tRNA-Met". Lineage: Eukaryota; Metazoa; Arthropoda; Malacostraca; Decapoda; Sesarmidae. The record is from RNAcentral.
AAAAAGAUAAGCUAAGAAUCCUAAGCUAAUGGGCUCAUACCCCGUAAAUGAAAAUAAUAUUCUCUUUUUA